Molecule: ribosomal RNA, 423 nt
Filed under: uncultured archaeon
Lineage: Archaea
Description: partial 16S ribosomal RNA
Rfam family: Archaeal small subunit ribosomal RNA
Source: RNAcentral
CUACGGGUCGCAGCAGGCGCGAAACCUCCGCAAUGUGAGAAAUCGCGACGGGGGGAUCCCAAGUGCCAUUCUUAACGGGAUGGCUUUUCAUUAGUGUAAAGAGCUUUUGGAAUAAGAGCUGGGCAAGACCGGUGCCAGCCGCCGCGGUAACACCGGCAGCUCUAGUGGUAGCAGUUUUUAUUGGGCCUAAAGCGUCCGUAGCCGGUUUAAUAAGUCUCUGGUGAAAUCCUGCAGCUUAACUGUGGGAAUUGCUGGAGAUACUAUUAGACUUGAGAUCGGGAGAGGUUAGAGGUACUCCCAGGGUAGAGGUGAAAUUCUGUAAUCCUGGGAGGACCGCCUGUUGCGAAGGCGUCUGACUGGAACGAUUCUGACGGUGAGGGACGAAAGCUAGGGGCGCGAACCGGAUUAGAUACCCCGGUAGUC